This 1037-nucleotide long non-coding RNA is filed under the name Mustela putorius furo (domestic ferret). RNAcentral describes it as "lncRNA (ENSMPUG00000027684.1)". Lineage: Eukaryota; Metazoa; Chordata; Mammalia; Carnivora; Mustelidae. The record is from RNAcentral.
CUGAAAUUAUAAAAUACUUUCUCAUUCUCUCUUUUAGUAUUUUUAGAGUAACUUUAAAUCUUCAAUUUAUCUGGAAUUUAUUUUUAGUAUACAGUAUGAGGUAUGCCUUAACGUAAUUUUUUUUCCAGAUGGAUAUCCUGAUUUCUUUGCAACAGUUAUUGAAUAAGCCAUCUUUCUCUGAUGAUUUGAGAGGAGACCUCUCUCCAUAUUAAAUUCUCAUGUAUAUUUGAUUGUAUUUUUUUAUUUGAUUGUAUCUUUAAUAGAUUUUCUUCUGGUCACUGAUUUCUGUUUUAGUUAUUAUAACUUUAAAAUGUUUUAAUAUCUGGUAAUACUUUAAAUUUAUUUUUAGAAUAUGUAUUGCUAUUCUUAUUUGUUUUAUUUGUAGGAAUUUGAAAUCAGUUUACCUAUUUCCAAAAGAAAAUUCUGUUAGUAUUUUUAUUAGGUGAGCUUUAUUUAUUUACUUAUUUUUUUUUAUAAUAUUAGUGGGUUUUGUUCUCCAUUUUUUUUUUUUAAGAUUUUUGUUUGUUUCUUUGACAGAGAGAUAGAGAAUGCAAGUGGGCAGAAUAGCAGGCAGAGGAAGAAGGAGAAGCAGACUCCCCGCUGAACAGGGAGCCUGACAGGGGGCUUGAUCCCAGGACACGAAGGCAGCUGCUUAACUGACUGAGCCACCCAGGCACCCCUGUUUAUUUAUUUAUUCUUUAAGUAAUCUUUAGGCCCAAUAUGGGGCUCAAACUCAGGACUCUGAGAUCAAGAGUCACAUGUCCUACCCACUGAGCCAGCCAAACACACCAGGAAAACUCACCUGCACUCUCAACCGUCUCCCAGAAGAAACUCCUCUCCCAAAGAAUCCAGGGUCUUGGGAGAAAGGAGGAGGCUGGUGAGCUCCUGCUCAGCGCUUUCUCCUCAGAAGACAUUCGCGUGAGAAGAAUGGACUUUUUCGGGGCGCCUGGGUGGCUCAGUGGGUUAAAGCCUCUGCCUUCGACUUGGGUCAUGAUCCCAGAGUCCUGGGAUCAACCCCACAUCGGGCUCUCUGCUCA